AUUCACCAUAGCAUGGUGAUGGAAGAUCCAGAAUGAGUUUUUCAGUUUUAAGUGCAAGCAAUAGGAAAAGCACUGAGAGGGAUGCUCACCUAUUUCAAGACCCAAAAUGCAAGGAAUUGAUACAAAUGAUGACCAUAUGCUGCUAGAAAAUGCAGAAUGAUUAUUCUAGCUUGAAGUGCAAGCAAUAAGAAAAACACCGUGAGAGAUGCUCAAGUUCUAUUUCAAGAUUGGAAAUGCAAGGA
Non-coding RNA from Penaeus vannamei (Pacific white shrimp), 242 nucleotides. NCBI's taxonomy places the organism in Eukaryota, Metazoa, Arthropoda, Malacostraca, Decapoda, Penaeidae. The record is from RefSeq and is a predicted model, not a curated record.